AACGAACGCUGGCGGCGUGCCUAACACAUGCAAGUCGAACGUGAUUGAGGGGCUUGCUCCUCAUGAAAGUGGCGCACGGGUGAGUAACGCGUAGAUAAUCUACCUGGUGAUCCGGGAUAACAGUUCGAAAGGACUGCUAAUACCUGAUAAGCCCACGGGGUCUUCGGACUCUGCGGGAAAAGGGGGGGACCAUAUGGCCUUCCGUCAUCAGAUGAGUCUGCGUACCAUUAGCUAGUUGGUAGGGUAAAGGCCUACCAAGGCGACGAUGGUUAGCUGGUCUGAGAGGAUGAUCAGCCACACUGGAACUGAGACACGGUCCAGACUCCUACGGGAGGCAGCAGUGGGGAAUUUUGCGCAACGGGGGAAACCCUGACGCAGCAACGCCGCGUGAGUGAUGAAAGCCCUUGGGUCGUAAAGCUCUGACAGAGGGAAAGAAGUGUAGAGUGGCUAAUAUCCACAUUACUUGACGGUACCCUCAAAGGAAGCACCGGCUAACUCCGUGCCAGCAGCCGCGGUAAUACGGGGGGUGCAAGCGUUGUUCGGAUUUAUUGGGCGUAAAGCGCGUGUAGGCGGUUUUAUAAGUCUGAUGUGAAAGCCCUGGGCUCAACCCGGGAAGUGCAUUGGAUACUGUAAGACUUGAAUACGGGAGAGGGCAGUGGAAUUCCUAGUGUAGGAGUGAAAUCCGUAGAUAUUAGGAGGAACACCGGUGGCGAAGGCGGCUGCCUGGACCGAUAUUGACGCUGAGACGCGAAAGCGUGGGUAGCAAACAGGAUUAGAUACCCUGGUAG
Molecule: ribosomal RNA, 788 nt
Filed under: uncultured bacterium
Lineage: Bacteria
Description: bacterial SSU rRNA
Rfam family: Bacterial small subunit ribosomal RNA
Source: RNAcentral